This 75-nucleotide transfer RNA is filed under the name Verrucomicrobiales bacterium. Its description in RNAcentral is "tRNA-Lys". It matches the Rfam family "tRNA". From Rfam's summary of the family: Transfer RNA (tRNA) molecules are approximately 80 nucleotides in length. The record is from RNAcentral. Lineage: Bacteria; Pseudomonadati; Verrucomicrobiota; Verrucomicrobiia; Verrucomicrobiales.
GGGCUGGUAGCUCAAUGGUAGAGCAGCGGCCUUUUAAGCCGUUGGUUCCCGGUUCGAGCCCGGGCCAGCCCACCA